UACGUAGGGUGCAAGCGUUGUCCGGAAUCACUGGGCGUAAAGGGCGCGUAGGCGGCCUGAUAAGUAGGGGGUGAAAUCCUGCGGCUUAACCGCAGGGCUGCCUUCUAAACUGUCAGGCUUGAGCACAGUAGAGGCAGGUGGAAUUCCCGGUGUAGCGGUGGAAUGCGUAGAGAUCGGGAAGAACAUCAGUGGCGAAGGCGGCCUGCUGGGCUGUUGCUGACGCUGAGGCGCGACAGCGUGGGGAGCAAACAGG
This 253-nucleotide ribosomal RNA is filed under the name uncultured bacterium. RNAcentral describes it as "partial 16S ribosomal RNA". It matches the Rfam family "Bacterial small subunit ribosomal RNA", at positions 524 to 776 of the family's 1533-position model. The record is from RNAcentral.